UUACUGUGUCCCAACAACUCGGUUUGUCAUGGCUCCAACGUCAUCCUCUUCACAUAUUUUUGCCAAGCCGAAGUCUGAUAUCUUUGGAUUCAUGUCCUUGUCUAGCAGAAUGUUGUUAGCUUUCAGGUCCCGGUGAAUUAUUCUCAAUUGUGAAUCUUGAUGCAGAUACAUAAGUCCCCGAGCUAUACCAUUGAUAAUGUAAAAUCGUUUAGGCCAGUCUAGUACCUUUGUUUGUGUCUCAUCUGCCAAAUGUUUUUGGUCAUCAACACCCUAAUUAGAUGUACUAUUUAAACGGUAGUACUAUAGGCAUCAGGUAACUGAAAUGAAGUUAUUAUAUAAUAUGCUUUUAGUGGACGGAGAGUAAUAUACCAAAUAUGAAUGAAUCAAGACUGCCGUUUGGCAAGUACUCAUAUAUCAACAUUUUUUCUUCCCCUUCAAUACAACAGCCAAGAAUCUUCACCAGAUUUCUGUGCUGAAGUUUGGCAAUAUAUACAACUUCAUUCAUAAACUCAUUUUCUCCUUGUGUGGAUGUUCUAGACAGACGCUUGACAGCUAUUUCCAGUCCUUCAAGUAUUCCCUAAACAUCACAAUCUCCACAUGUUAAUAGCAUCACUACCUAAAUUGAUGUAAGAAACAAUCAGAUAUACCUUGUAAACAGGUCCAAAGCCCCCCUCUCCAAUUUUUCUGUCGAUUGAAAAGUUAUUAGUAGCCUUCAUUAUGGUAGAUAAGUCAAACAGCGGUAUCUCCAAUUCUUCAGCACAACUACCACUGUAAUCCAUCUUGGAGCUGCCAUUUAAUCCCGAACUACCUGCCAAAAACAAAUCAAGUGAAUAUUGUUAAGGUGUGAAUUCCAGACAAAUCUGAUAGUUCUUCUAACUUUUAUUUAGGCAUAAUACAUAAAUAUGCCCUUUAACUUGGUCUCGCAUCCAUGCCCUUCAACGUAGGCUGCCAAGUAGGAUGUGUGUGUCCAGUGGCGGAUCCAGGAUUUUCGUUCAGGGGGUUCGAAAAAUAAAAGUAUAAACGUGUAUAUAUAAGCCAACAAAACAAGAUUUCAAGAAAGUAGUAGUAUUUAGUUUUAGUGGCGGACCCUUGAAUUUUUUUGGGUUUAAAACCACACUUUUAGCAUGUUUUAUAAAAUAAAAAACAAAAAAAAACGUGAAAACGGAACUGAAACCUUAAAAAAAAACAAAAAAAAACUGAAAUUGAAAAAGAAAAAAAUAAAACGCUACUGCAGGGAUUCGAUCCCUCAACUUGAGACUUAAUUUUCAGGGAAAAUACCACUAGGCUAUCUCUUUUUCCUUGUCAUUGAGGGGGUUCAAAAUAUAUAUAUCCAAAAUAAAUACAGAAAAUUACCUUAUAUAUACAGUGUAAUUUUUUGCCGAGGGGGUUCGGGUGAACCCCCUGGAACCAACGUGGGUCCGCCCCUGUGUGUGUCUAGCUACUUUUUCAACUAUAUACAAGUUUAAGUGUCUGUGUAUAUGCAUGCCCAAAGUUGAAAGGCAUAGAUGAAGCCAAGUUAAAAGGACACGUUUAAGUAUCAUGCCUCUUAUUUGAAUUUGUAUUCCUCUAUUUUGCUAAGAUGUCAGGACAAAAAGGGAUUUAUCAAGCUUACCUUUCUUUUUGAUUACUAAAGUCUUCUUCUUUCUUCUAUGAUAGAUCAGCAUGCUAAGAAUUACCAGAACCGCACCAACUGCAAAUGGCAGAAUCCAUUGAAGUACUUUUCGCUUCUUUCCAUCUGAUUUCUCCAGAUUAUCUGCAAGUAUCCAUUUAUCUAAAGUAGCAGCUUGCGUUUCUAUUAAAACAUGUUAGAUAGCAAUAAGACAUACCUGCUUCAGAAGCAGCCAUUCUAAUGUAGAUAUCUUGCCCUCCGUUGGAUUCCUGCUGAAUGUCAAGCAGAUCCUCUAACCACAAUAUGCAUCCACUUCCUCCAUUGCGUAUAUCAGCAUUUGAGUAAGCCAUACAAGAGCAAUUUUUUGAGCAGAAAUCCUUGCAUUCUUCUAGUGUCAUAGUCACAUUAGACCAGGAAUUCCGUGUGUCUGGCAAUUUGAUAUGUGAAUACUUCAAAAAUACGUCUCCUUUAAGGCAAUUUAGUUCAGUUCUCCGAACACAGCCACCUGACCAAUCUGUCUUCUUCCAAGCUUCACUAUUGUUGGGAACGAAUUUGUCUAAGCAUCCACAUACUGGAAAAUCUUGACUGUUGCAGCUACCAUAUGCACCACACAACUUAUACGUAUCACAGUUAUCUGCGGGUAUUAAGAGGAAAGGGACCCAACCUUGUUUUCCGUCACCCCAAGUCCAAAGUUGUAACACACCAUUCUGACUCAAUAUCAACCUCACGAUAACUGAAGACGUGAGCUUAUAUCCAAAGUACAACUCUGUCUUACUUGUAAAUACUCCAAUUGUAUAGUAAGGACAUUCUCUUGAGUUUUGUGAUCCACUGAAAGAACGACCAUUCCACGGUCCAGAGCGAUAUACAACAUCUGAUCCCUUCUUCAUGAUGUUCUGUGGAUAACCAGAAGGAUCACAAUGAUAUGUAUAAUCACCAGGAGCUGGAUCCUCCUCAUUCUUCCAUGAUGACAAGUACACCUCUCGUCCUGUUACAAAGUUCCAACCGAGCUUCAUGCCUGGUAAUAGUGUAUUAGUUGGGUGAUCAAAAUUCUGCCAAAGCAAAUUCCCAUCACUAACACCAUGACCAGAUUGUGAUUGUUUCACAACAAGAUUCCCUGAAUCCAGCAACUGUGCUACUGGAUUUUGCACGGAUCUCGAAGUAUUAGUUGACCAUACAACAUUGCUACUGUCAUUGAGAAGGACAAGAAUUCCUGGCUCAAUGACCUUCAAAAUACCAGUUGUACUAGUCAGAGGAGCUUCUCUAUUCGCGACCCACACCACGGUCCUAACAGAUAUGUUCUUGUACCAUAUCCCCACAUAGCGAUUAUUGGAUUUACCUGGACUGAAGAAUCCCAUUUCGAAGGUUCCACCACGUGAUACAAUAAAAUUGUCCUCGUCAUCUUUGAGAAAAUCUGUCGUAGUUAUUGUAUCUGUAGCGCAAAAACAUAGGUAGAUGGAAGAAAAGACUACAAGCAUGAAUGUGCCAAAAACAACUGCGUUUAAUGGCACGUUCAUGCUUCGACUUCCCAUUAAUUAAAUCACAAUCAGAGUCCUAUUAUAUAUCAUUACCAAGGAAAAUAGUAAAUCUAACUCUACAUCAAAAUGAUUGUCAUUUCCACUAAUGUUUGUGUGCGUUGUUUGCUUAAUUGAGAAGUAGUGUGGUUAAUUAUGGCUAGUAGGACAUUAAUAAUGCAAAAACAUUUUUUAAAAUUAAAAAGCCAAGCAUGAUCUAUACUUUGUAAUUUUAUAUUCGAUAUUGUCUUUGUCAGUUACUCACAAUGGAUCAAUCUUAUUGGCUGAAACAAAAGAGUAAUUUUAUUAUAAUUUGCUCGAUAAUAUUUGUACCCUUUAACAAUUUGUCUUUUCCCCCACUUUUGAGUCUCCAUUUCUUUAUUCACGCACGUUUGAUAUCUUUUUUAAAAAAAAAUGGAUUUCUCAGUGUUUCAAAUUCAUUUUCAUUCCCGCCACUUUUGAAAAGUUGCCACAAACAUGCAUGCAUCAGGAUUUUACGCUUUACCAUUGUCUGUUUCUAUUUAAGCAUCUUAAUACUAGUAUUAUUUUAGGAGUAGUUAUUAUGCAUUAUUACAAAAUAGUAUGUUAUUGCACUCGGAAAUACGUACUAGCUAGUUUGCAGUGGCAAAUUCAAGUUUUAAAGUUUGUGGAUUCCUAAAGCAAUAUUCUUGAGUUGAUAAAGGUUUAUUUUUAGAUAUUUAUAAAUAUUCAAUCAACAUUUUAAUAUGUAUAUAUAUAAUUUGAGUUUGCUCACACUAGCUAGCCAAAAAAAUCUAGCAAGUUCCCCAUUUGUCAAUUUCCAAUUUGUUAACAUGACCACAAUGUUUAAAUCAUUAAGGGAUCAUAAUUUCAAAUAAAAUAUAAGAUUAAUUUAUUUCAUCUCUAAGGCUAAUAUAACACCUCUUCUACCUAAAGGAACCAAAAACACAUUAUUUUAAUUAAUCAAAGGUUAAAUAGGCUCUUCGUUCACUUUUAUUAAUCCAUUUUAGACUUUGCAUGCCUUAAAAAAAUAAUGACUAAUGUGAGUAUUUAUUACAAUAUCCAUAUUAAUUGAAGGUCUUUAGGUCUUGAGAAAUAAUUUGGGAAUAAGUAACUAAUCUUGAGGGUAAAAAAUAGAAAAAAAAACUAUUAUCUUUUCUUGAUAUGUUAAUAAGUAAAAAUAAAAAUUUAUUUUUAAACAUAGUGAUAAGUAAAAUGGAAAGUAAGUUAUAUGAUUCUUAAGCUGACAUGUGUCCCUCCGUUAAAAUUAGGGAAUCAUAUGUACCAAAGUAUAACGGUAGAAAUAUAUUUAAAUCGAAAGUAUAAGGAAGGGUAUAUUUGAACUAUUUUCUAUACUACAUGCCUACAUGAGUAUAUUUGACCCUUUUCUGUUGUAUUAAAUCACCUAUUAGGAGGACCAAAAACAGAAUUCACCAAUAAUUAGUGACCAAAAUGCUAUUAUUAUUAUUAUUAUUUUUAUUAUUAUUAUUAUUGUGGGAAAAGUGUGUCCUCUCUCUGUGCUUCGCCUUCCCCUUUCUCUAUUCUCUCUACGUUCAAUGUCUGCUUCUCCUCUUUGUUUCUAAAUUCCUCUCUGCGUUCCCUCCCGCUCCGAUUUCACUCUCUGAGAUCUAUGGCUAGUUUAAUGCAACGUUGAGUUUGGUGACGCUCUGAAUUGAAUUCUGGACUGUGAAUAUAUACAUGACGACAGAGGCUCAAUAUGGCGAGUUUAUGGUUACGGUACUCUUCUCCUUGCUUAUUGAUGAUUUUAGUUCCUGCUUAUUCUAAUUGUUUUAGUAUUAUCUAGAGCUAUACUUGUGAAAUGGAAAAUAUCAUCUGCAUUGUUGUCAUUUGAGUUUUGACAUGCAUUAGCUAUUCAAUUUUUGUUAAUUGGUUGGGUUUAUUGCGUCAAAGCUUGAUUAAUUGUGAUUCACCCAAAUUAUUUAUGGAGGCUAGACGUUUUCCGUAAAUUGAUUCUUUUCCGUCAUUAAAUAAUGGAAAAGUUGUAGUAAACUGUGCUAAUCAGUUUUGUUGGUCAAUUAGGGCAAAUAUAACCCAAUUUUAAGAUGGCAAGGACACCAUUGACGCCAAUAAUUAAUGAAGAGUAUAUAUAGACCAUUUCAUAUAGUUGAGCAAAUUUGACUCUUUGCCCUUUGAGCAAUUUGGAUGUCAAGCUUGAAUUACAAUAGAAAAUGAACAAAAUACUGCAGUUAAAGUAACAACUAAACUGCAAAAAACGAUGAGACAUCUUUGCCUCGGGAUAGAUGGUCAUAUACUGCAAAAAUAAUGCAACCUACUGCACCCAAGGGUGAGAGACCUAGUGGUCAAUGAAGUGGUUGAGAACUCUGAGGUCAAUUCUUUAUGGAAGAAACAUAAUAUCUAAAAUUUAUCCAAUAAGCACACACAUAUGACAUAACAAAACAGUUUUAGGGACGGGUGUAACGUCAUCAUAUUCUAAUUAAAUCUUGUGUUCAGGUUUGAGACUAAUGAUUUGAACUUCAUUAAUGUGCCCUUUUCCUUAUUAAUCCCACAACAUUUUCUAAUAAAUUAGUUGCAGCCAUUAAAUUUUGCUUAACGGAAGUAUUUCACUCGACUUAUAUAUAAAGUUAACCAAAAAAAAAUACUCAAUCAAACAAAGUGAGACGUAGUAUCAGAUAUACUGCGCAAAUCAAAGUAACAGCCAGUCAGCAAGCUUCCUACAUAUGUUUGACAUAGUUGAUACACCUAAAAAAGCACAAUCAUGCACACAUUUUUUUCACCACAUUACUAUAGAGAAUUAAGAAAAGAUCAUUGCAACUGCAAGCUUGUUGCAAACAAGUGAACCAAUAUCUUCUAUCGAGCAGCUAGUAUUGUGAUGGGGGUGUCACUCACUGUAAUCUGUGCAGAUUGGCUAGGAGUGAAAUCACCACCCGGUGCAUUUCCUUCUAUGUAAAAACCUGGUUGUUUAGCCAACGGCAACACACCUUCAUUGUUUAACAUCAGAACUGCGGAAGACAUACUUAGACGAUCUUCAGGACAUUGUUGGACACAUAAUAAACCAACACUAAUUGAUCGUACCACUUCAGAUGUUGAACAAGAAUCACCUAGGCAUUCAUCAAGUAGUUCUAUUGACCUACCUUGUAUAUAAAGUUUCCAUGCCUGUAGAUAUUGCAAGCUUAUUAGCAGGGGUCGUUUUACAAGAUAUUUGUUACUAGUAUAUAACAUACACCAAGGAAUAAAUAAAAUUAAACAACUGCACCCAAGGGUGUGACCUAGUGGUCGAUGAUCAGUUUCAAAUUCCAGCAGAGACAAAAAACACUAGGCAAUUUCUUCCCAUCAGUCCUAACCUUGUUGGACAGAGUUACCCGGUACCUAUUGGUGGUGGGAGUUUGCAGGUAUCCCAUGGAAUAAGUUGAGGUGUGCGCAAGCUGGCCUCGGCACCACGACAACAACAACAUAACUAGUAUAAUCCCACAAGUGGAGUUUGGGGAGGGUAGUGUGUAUGUAGGCCUUACCACUACCUCGUUGGUAGAGAGACUAUUUUUGAUAGACGCUUGGCUCAAGUAUGUUGGCUCCAACACCUCGGUUAUCAAAAAAAUAAGAAAUAAAACAAGUAAAAUCUUACAUGCCCGAGUAGAUUAAGGUUAUGAUCUGGAUGAGAGAAUUUUCUGUUGCUUUUCCCACUGACAAUUUCCAAUACUAAAAUACCAAAGCUAAAUACAUCUGAUUUUACUGAGUAUUUUCCGUGCAAUGCAUAUUCCGGUGAGAGGUACCCACUGCAUUAAAAUGUGCGCAACAUUAUAAUUAGUAAUGCUGGAAAACAUGCCUUUACUAACUGAAGAUUCUUCUUUGGUUCAAAUUAUUAUCCAGUAAAUCUUAUCAAAAUAAUACUAUCCAGUGGAAGGUUCUUACUAUGUUCCAACUACUCGGUUUGUCAUGGCUCCAAUGUCAUCCUCUUCACAUAUUUUUGCCAAGCCGAAGUCUAAUAUCUUUGGAUUCAUGUCCUUGUCUAGCAGAAUGUUGUUAGCUUUCAGGUCUCUGUGAAUUAUUCUCAAUUGAGAAUCUUGAUGCAGAUACAUAAGUCCCCGAGCUAUACCAUUGAUAAUGUGAAAUCGCUUAGGCCAGUCUAAUGCCUUGC
This 7213-nucleotide long non-coding RNA is filed under the name Solanum tuberosum (potato). Its description in RNAcentral is "long non-coding RNA (STUB_LNC007752)". The record is from RNAcentral. Lineage: Eukaryota; Viridiplantae; Streptophyta; Magnoliopsida; Solanales; Solanaceae.